UUGUUAAGCUUCAGGAGCACAUGUACUAAAAUUGGAAUGAUACAGAAGAUUAGCAUGACCCCUGUGCAAGGAUGAUAUGCAAAUUCGUGAAGCGUUUCAUAUUUUU
This is a small nuclear RNA of Dipodomys spectabilis (banner-tailed kangaroo rat), 106 nucleotides long. NCBI's taxonomy places the organism in Eukaryota, Metazoa, Chordata, Mammalia, Rodentia, Heteromyidae. The record is from RefSeq and is a predicted model, not a curated record.